RNAcentral lists this ribosomal RNA (407 nucleotides) under uncultured bacterium. RNAcentral describes it as "partial 16S ribosomal RNA". It matches the Rfam family "Bacterial small subunit ribosomal RNA", at positions 28 to 526 of the family's 1533-position model. The record is from RNAcentral.
GACGAACGCUGGCGGCGUGCCUAAUACAUGCAAGUAGAACGCAGUUGCGAACGGGUGAGUAACGCGUAGGUAACUGCCUCAUAGCGGGGGAUAACCAUUGGAAACGAUAGCUAAUACCGCAUACUGUGAGAUGGACCUGCGUUGUAUUAGCUAGUUGGUGAGGUAAAGGCUCACCAAGGCGCCGAUACAUAGCCGACCUGGGAGGGUGGUCGGGCAAACUGGGAAUGGGACACGGGCCAGAAUCCUACGGGAGGCAGCAGUAGGGAAACUUCGGAAAUGGGCGGAAGGCUGACCGAGCAAAGCCGCGUGAGUGAAGAAAGUUUUCGGAUCGUAAAAGUCUGUUGAUAGAGAAGCGGUAACUGACCAGAAAGGGACGGCUAACUACGUGCCAGCAGCCGCGGUAAUUC